CGCACUUCGCAUUUCUAGGGUUUAUAGAGGAACUCCCUUCCUCUCCUUCCCUUUGCUCGCUUUCAAAUAUAGGAUUUGCUUGCUUGAAGCAGCGAUCGAUUGGCAUUACUGAGGGGAGUUGUAGAUCCGAAGAAGAAAAUGUCAGGCUACUUCUCAUUCAUACCUGGAGAUGUGCUGAGCGACAUCCUUACUAGACUACCCCUCAAAACCCUAAUCCGAUGCACAUCUGUGUGCAAACCAUGGCACACUCUCCUCACAAACCCUAGUUUCAUAACCAAACACCUCAAUCAAUCUCGAUUCAACAACAAGGAACUUCUACUAGUUCGAAUCCACAGUGAUUCUGAUGAUAAAGAGCAUUACGCCCUACGUUACGACGAUAACCACUUGUUCUCGGAGUAUGCACAGCUUGAGUUCCCAUUGAAGAGCAGCUCUUGCAACCAUUAUUUUAGGAUAAUCGGUUGCUGCAAUGGCCUCAUUUGCCUCUCAGACGAUCAGUUCUCUUAUACCAACAAUCUCUUUCUCUGGAACCCUUUCAUUCGAAAGACGAUGCGGCUUCCACCAGUUCGUGUCACCGUUCAGACCCAUGGUCUAUUCAAGCAUAGCAUUGGGUUUGGCUUUGAUUCCAUCACCGAUGAUUACAAGGUCGUCCGGAUUGUGCAUCUCGAGAAUCACAAGAAGCCACCGGAGAUUGACAUUUUCAGUCUAAGCACCGGCACUUGGCGCGACAUCAGUCAUGUGGCUCUUCCACAUACCAUCAUCGAUGAGAGGGCUCCCCAGGCAUUUCUCAAAGGGGCUGCCCAUUGGAUUGCUUCCUCAUCGGAUGCCAAAUUGAUUGUGUCCUUCCACAUGGGUUGUGAGGAAUUUGGUCAAAUUAUGCUGCCUCAUAAUAUCAUGGCUCAUGCCAAUCAAUUGCAGAUUCUAGGUUUUCGUGUUGCUAAGUUCCAGGAUUCACUCGCACUCAUCCACCUUACUGGUGCUAAAGACAAACCUUGUUGCAUAUGGGUGAUGAAAGAGUAUGGUGUAGCGGAGUCUUGGACCAAACAAUUCAAUAUUGACAUGAUUGGACCAUUCAAUAGUGUAGCUGGCUUCACAAGGAACGGGCAACUUGUUCUGGCAAGCAGUGCAGGGUACCUGCUAGCUCGUGAUCCCCAUGCCGGAAGUCUAAUGCAUUUUUUAAUUCGUGGGUCUACACAUCCAACGUAUAGGCACUCAUUUUAUGCAGAUGCUUACUCGAAUAGCCUAGUUCUACUUGGAAUGAGAUUCUGUGAUGCAGGCACUUCUGAGGAAUCAUCACCUGGGGAUCGGUCUGUUGAAGGGAGCAGGGAAGCUAUGAAAACUAAGAAAAGGGAUGAUUUCCUGUCAAAGGGGUUCAAGCUGGUGCUUUAAGCAACUCGAAGAGCAAAGGAGCAAGAAGGUGCAGAUGUAGGGGUAAUAUAUUUUGGGAGUCGGUAUAGAUGCUGAACUGAUGGAGCAGAAAUUGGGCAUAUUGGCAAGUUUGGUGAUGGAAGGAAGGAAAGAAGAUUAAAGAUCUUGUCUUAGAAUAUGUGACAUACUCUUUCUGUUAAAACAAUUUUCUUGUAGUUAAUACUUUGAAUGCUGCUGGCAUGCUUGCAUCCUAUUUUGCUCCUUAAACUUUCUUAAUUA
RNA transcript from Cornus florida, 1644 nucleotides. It is a transcript of the gene named F-box protein CPR1-like, with no coding region annotated. NCBI's taxonomy places the organism in Eukaryota, Viridiplantae, Streptophyta, Magnoliopsida, Cornales, Cornaceae. The record is from RefSeq and is a predicted model, not a curated record. The transcript is spliced from 3 exons.